This 382-nucleotide long non-coding RNA is filed under the name Brassica rapa (field mustard). RNAcentral describes it as "long non-coding RNA (BRAP_LNC001441)". The record is from RNAcentral. Lineage: Eukaryota; Viridiplantae; Streptophyta; Magnoliopsida; Brassicales; Brassicaceae.
UUUAAUUGAGCUUUCAUCAUAUGUUGUUGUAUUACCCUCAACUGUCUCACCAUCCUCAACAGUUUGCUUCUCGUUGCUUUUGAGAUUCAUCUAGUCUUUCCGGAAAGCCUUAUUGGUGUUAAAACAGAUCUUAUUUGUCUAAUGAGCUGUUUAACCAAAUCUAGAUCCUAUUCAGGCAAUUUUGCGCUCUUUCAAACUUUGUUGUUUGGAUAUAUCAACGUCAUUUUCAACUAUGAAAAGCUCUUUGGAGCUUCCGCUGCAGAAAUACAAGUGAAGAUUAUCUUUGGUUUUCUUUACUUUGAGCAAGCCUCUCAUGUUAACACCUCUAUUUUAGGAUUUAUCGUUUCACUGUACCGUCGAGUAUUGCCGUUGUAUCACUCCG